UACGUAGGGGGCAAGCGUUGUUCGGAUUUACUGGGCGUAAAGGGCGCGUAGGCGGCAAUUCAAGUCAGCUGUGAAAUCUCCGGGCUUAACUCGGAACGGUCAGCUGAUACUGCUUUGCUAGAGUGCAGAAAGGGCAAUCGGAAUUCUUGGUGUAGCGGUGAAAUGCGUAGAUAUCAAGAGGAACACCUGAGGCGAAGGCGGGUUGCUAGGCUGACACUGACGCUGAGGCGCGAAAGCCAGGGGAGCAAACGGG
This 253-nucleotide ribosomal RNA is filed under the name uncultured bacterium. RNAcentral's name for it is "partial 16S ribosomal RNA". It matches the Rfam family "Bacterial small subunit ribosomal RNA", at positions 524 to 776 of the family's 1533-position model. The record is from RNAcentral.